This 242-nucleotide long non-coding RNA is filed under the name Notechis scutatus (mainland tiger snake). RNAcentral describes it as "lncRNA (ENSNSUG00000001671.1)". Lineage: Eukaryota; Metazoa; Chordata; Lepidosauria; Squamata; Elapidae. The record is from RNAcentral.
GAAAAGGUAACCCCGUGAAUUUGAGGGGGCGGAGAUUUUUUCCCUGUGGCCGUUGAGGAGGCGCCAUGACGGAGCCGAAGGUAUUGGUGAUUGAUGGACGUGGCCAUUUGCUGGGGCGCAAAGUUGUGGUUGUGCGAUGUGAAGGGAUUAACAUAUCUGGCAACUUCUACCGCAACAAAUGUAAGUAAAACUGAGGCUUCCAAACCUUUCAGAAUAAUUUGAGGCAGACAGUUUUUUCAAGC